This 33-nucleotide ribosomal RNA is filed under the name Lasiodiplodia pseudotheobromae. RNAcentral's name for it is "partial 18S ribosomal RNA". Lineage: Eukaryota; Fungi; Ascomycota; Dothideomycetes; Botryosphaeriales; Botryosphaeriaceae. The record is from RNAcentral.
UGGAAGUAAAAAAUCGUAACAAGGUUUCCGUAG